Asparagus officinalis (garden asparagus) is the source of this 842-nucleotide RNA transcript. It is a transcript of the gene named protein NSP-INTERACTING KINASE 1-like, with no coding region annotated. The record is from RefSeq and is a predicted model, not a curated record. NCBI's taxonomy places the organism in Eukaryota, Viridiplantae, Streptophyta, Magnoliopsida, Asparagales, Asparagaceae. The transcript is spliced from 6 exons.
CUGACUGUUCCUUCUCUUUACUUUGGUGGGUAUUUUAGGAGAUGCUUGCUGGGUUCAAGAUUGUCUCAAUCCAUUGCGAUCAGCAGAGGUUUUCUCGGAUUGGUAAUAUUAGCUGCUGGAGUUGUGUGGGUUUACAUGUUCUACUGUAAGAACAUUGCAAAUAAAAAUUCCGAGAGUAAUCCAUCUGAUCCAUCAGCACAAGUUGAAGUGAGUAAGGAUGCUUGUGGUAGCCCAACUGAACCGCAGAGAGCAAGACAUUUUAUGUUAAAAGAGUUGGAACAAACAACCAACAGUUUUGAUGAACACAAUAUCAUAGGCAAGGGAAGUUUUGGCUCAGUGUAUAAGGGUUUGCUUUGUGAUGUCAUUGUUGUAGCAAUUAAGACACACCAGGGACCUCCAAAAAAAGAGUUCAUCAAAGAGUCAAAGCAGGUUCAUUGUUUCUCUAAUUGGUUACUGCCAAGAAGCUGGUCUACAAAUGCUAGCUUUUGAAUAUCUCCCAGAUAUAAGCAUAAGUAAUCAUCUAUAUGAUACUGGGGGAGAAGCAAUGACUAGGCUUGAAUAUAAACAAGGGCUUUCUAUAGCUCUAGGUGCAACUAAAGGUUUGUGUCAUUUACAUGGACAAAUACCGCCAAUUGUACACAUCAACUCCAAAACAAAGAAUGUACUAUCGAUGAAAAUUUCUCUCUAAGGUAGCAAAUUUGGGGUAUUUAUAAUCUGCUCCGAAGGAUUGAAGAUGCAGGGCCAUCUCAAAAAUCUGAUAUUUGCGUCUUCCAAGAUCCUGAGUAAGAGCAAGUGCAUCAAGCUUCCAGUUCGGAGUCCUGGUCAGCAAGCUCUUAAGAGCU